UGAUCAGAGAGGGUGAAAAUCCCGUAGGCGAAAUUGAUGAGAGGCUGGCAGGAUCCAGAGUACCACGAGACACGGGAAACCUUGUGGGAAGCAGGAGGGACCACCCUCCAAGGCUAAAUACUCCUCAGUGACCGAUAGCGCAUAGUACUGUGAAGGAAAGGUGAAAAGGACCCCGGGAGGGGAGUGAAAGAGAACCUGAAACCCUGUGUUUACAAGCUGUGGAAGUGCCUUAUGUGCACAACCGCGUACUUUUUGUAGAACGGUCCGGCGAGUUACGUUUACUGGCAAGGUUAAGCACUCAAGGUGCGGAGCCGAAGGGAAACCAAGUCUUAAGAGGGCGUGAAGUCAGUAAGAGUAGACCCGAAACCGGGUGAUCUACCCAUGUCCAGGCUGAAGCUGCCGUAAGAGGUAGUGGAGGGCCGAACGCACAUCCGUUGAAAAGGGUGGCGAUGAGGUGUGGGUAGGGGAGAAAUUCCAAUCGAACCCGGAGAUAGCUGGUUCUCCUCGAAAUAGCUUUAGGGCUAGCCUCGAUGGAGUCUUACGGAGGUAGAGCACUGAAUUUCUAAGGGGGCGUCAAAGCUUACCAAGGGAUAUCAAACUCCGAAUGCCGUAAAGAUGCUCAUCGGGAGUCAGACUGCACGAGAUAAGUUGGGCAGUCAAAAGGGAAAGAGCCCAGACCUGCUGCUAAGGUCCCAAAGUACGUGUUAAGUGGAAAAGGAUGUGGGAUUUCGAAGACAACUAGGAUGUUGGCUCAGAAGCAGCCACACAUUCAAAGAGUGCGUAAUAGCUCACUAGUCGAGAGGUCCUGCGCCGAAAAUGUCCGGGGCUGAAACACGACACCGAAGCACAGGAUACCG
Molecule: ribosomal RNA, 857 nt
Filed under: Fusicatenibacter saccharivorans
Lineage: Bacteria; Bacillati; Bacillota; Clostridia; Lachnospirales; Lachnospiraceae
Description: partial 23S ribosomal RNA
Rfam family: Bacterial large subunit ribosomal RNA
Source: RNAcentral